RNAcentral lists this ribosomal RNA (480 nucleotides) under uncultured bacterium. RNAcentral's name for it is "bacterial SSU rRNA". It matches the Rfam family "Bacterial small subunit ribosomal RNA", at positions 29 to 524 of the family's 1533-position model. The record is from RNAcentral.
AAUGAACGCUGGCGGCGUGCCUAACACAUGCAAGUCGGAUGUGCCCGCAAGAGUGCAUGGCAGACGGGUGAGUAACGCGUGGGGAAUCUACCUUUUAGUGGGGAAUAACGCUCCGAAAGGAGUGGUAAUACCGCAUGUGACCAUCGGCUGGGAUGUUGAUGGUGAAACCCUGGGACCUUCGGGCCAGGGGCUAAAGGAGGAUCCUGCGUCUGAUUAGCUAGUUGGCGGGUAACGGGCCCACCAAGGCGACGAUCAGUAGCCGGCCUGAGAGGGUGAUCGGCCACACUGGAACUGAGACACGGUCCAGACUCCUACGGGAGGCAGCAGUGGGGAAUUUUGCGCAAUGGACGAAAGUCUGACGCAGCAACGCCGCGUGGGUGAUGAAGGUCUUCGGAUCGUAAAGCGCUUUUCUGAGAGAUGAGAAAGGACAGUAUCUCAGGAAUAAGUCUCGGCUAACUACGUGCCAGCAGCCGCGGUAAA